CAGUCGCCACGGGAAUACGUAGGGGGCAAGCGUUGUCCGGAAUCAUUGGGCGUAAAGCGCGUGUAGGCGGCUCAAUAAGUCUGCUGUGAAAGUCCAGGGCUCAACCCUGGGAUGCCGGUGGAUACUGUCGAGCUCGAGUCCGGAAGAGGCGAGUGGAAUUCCUGGUGUAGCGGUGAAAUGCGCAGAUAUCAGGAGGAACACCAAUGGCGAAGGCAGCUCGCUGGGACGUGACUGACGCUGAGACGCGAAAGCGUGGGGAGCAAACAGGAUUAGAUACCCCGGUAGUCCCUGUCUCUUAUAC
Molecule: ribosomal RNA, 301 nt
Filed under: uncultured bacterium
Lineage: Bacteria
Description: partial 16S ribosomal RNA
Rfam family: Bacterial small subunit ribosomal RNA
Source: RNAcentral